CUACGGGACGCUACAGUGGGGAAUAUUGCACAAUGGAGGAAACUCUGAUGCAGCAACGCCGCGUGGAGGAUGACACUUUUCGGAGCGUAAACUCCUUUUAUAUAGGAAGAAGAUGACGGUACUAUAUGAAUAAGCGCCGGCUAACUCCGUGCCAGCAGCCGCGGUAAUACGGAGGGCGCAAGCGUUACUCGGAAUCACUGGGCGUAAAGAGCGUGUAGGCGGAUUAAAAAGUCAGAAGUGAAAUCCUAUAGCUUAACUAUAGAACUGCUUCUGAAACUCUUAAUCUAGAAUAUGGGAGAGGUAGAUGGAAUUGCUGGUGUAGGGGUAAAAUCCGUAGAGGUCAGAAGGAAUACCGAUUGCGGAGGCGAUCUACUAGAACAUUAUUGACGCUGAGACGCGAAAGCGUGGGGAGCAAACAGGAUUAGAUACCCGGGUAGUC
Molecule: ribosomal RNA, 439 nt
Filed under: uncultured bacterium
Lineage: Bacteria
Description: partial 16S ribosomal RNA
Rfam family: Bacterial small subunit ribosomal RNA
Source: RNAcentral